CAGAGUGGGUAUCCAGUAUCCGCAGAGUGCAGAAGCAGAGGCCCCUGGGGAAGACCUGGUGGAGCUGAGAGUGAGAGCAGACCCAUCUCUCCUCUACCAUGCGUUGUCAAGAAGCCCAAGGAGGCCAGGGUGAAGACACAGACAUGGGAGGAAGUGACAUAGAGAUGGAGACAUAAAGUCUCCAUGCUUCCUCCCAUGCCUGUGACUGCAAGGAGACGUCCGGGUGGGUGACUCUCUUUUUAGAAUGUAGAAGGUAGACUGGGAAGGACAAGAGAGAACGCUAAACCCAUAUGGACAAGCCAGGUUCUGGUAUGUGUGUAUAAUGGAGGAGUUGAGUCUUUUCUCAGAAACACAGUGUCAUAGCAUUGGCUUCUAGCACAUUGGGCAGUGAGCCCCUUUUGUUUGAAAACACACUGUUCACUGUUCCAACUAAGGAAGCUGUUCUGGUGCAUUGAAAAGUGACUGCAAGGAGAUCGUCUGGGUGGGAGACUCUCUUUUUAGAAUGUAGAGGGUAGACUGGGAAGGACAAGAGAGAAUGCUAAACCCAUACAGACAAGCUGGGUUCAGGUAAGUGUGUAUAAUGGAGGAGCUGAGUGUGUUAAGAUGUUGAAAGGCAGGAGGAGUACAGCUUUCCAAGAAGCCUGGUCCUGAUGUGGCCUACAGAGAGUCUUCUGCGUGACCACAUUCUUCUCAGAACUCUGAGCUCUGUCAGGGAGUAAGAUGAAUUCUCAGGCUUGCUGGGCCCACCUCUGCUACCUUCUCUCCAUCCAUCCAAUUAGACCAGGACUGAGCCACACUGACCUGGCGAGAAUGUUGAGGGUUUGCUGAGAAUUUCGUUAGGUGUGCAAAUGGUAUGAAGAUGAUGCUAAAAACAAGUCUAUCAGCUGGAGAUACUCAGAUGAAUGGACAGAGUUUCUGAGAUCUGCUAUUAAAUUAUUUAGGGGGAAAAUGUAUGUGUUGCGGGAGCACAAGGGAAAAGUUAGCAAGAUGGUAAUUGUUGAGGUUGGGUGUAACGAGGUGCACCCUCAGCCUCGCUGGACACUUACGGCUCGCAUUCUCCAGCCGGACCAGGCAGUUGAGGAAGUCAUCGAAGUCCAGCUGGAGCUCCUCAUCCGCAUACCUGAGCACAAUCAGCUGCAGGAGGUGGCUGCUCAGCUGAAAGCCUGUGGGGACAAAGGAGGAGACCCAGGACUCGCUGUAUCCGAGCCCCGAGGUGAGUCUGCACCUUUGAGGGAGCUCCCAGGCAGCUGAGGAGAGGGCUCAGAAGAGGAAGCCACUGUUUCACUCCUCAAAGCUGGGGUCCCCAGACCCAGUGGGACUGCUGCCCUUGGUGUGAAUGCAGCGUGAGAGUGUGAAUCUGUGGUGCAGGGGCGAGUGUGCGGGGGACUCUCAGGCGUGCUUUCUGUGUUUAAUGGCUUCUGAGUUUAGCGAGUUUGUGAUCUUAAUUUUGAUGCUAACAUCACCCAUAGAGUCUCGCUGACUUUACAGGAAGCUUUGUUUGGGGGAACUUAACACUGGGUGGUGUCUGAGCCCCAAGUUCAUUCCUACACCAGCCUCCCCUCGCGUUCUAUGUCUCAGGUCACUUCCAGCUGUGGCCCUAGAAAGUUUCUUGGAGGGGAUGCUGCUGCCCACGGAGAAUGAUACUCUGCCAGGGCCCAUUCCUACACAUCCACGAUGGGGGAAGAAUGACAGGCUAUAGCCAGGAGGCUUGGAUCUGAGCCCUGGCACUGCUCCAGCCGUGGCAUAUGGGUUCAGUUCUCUGGGCUUUGGUUUCCUCAUUGUCAAAUGAGGAGUUUAGACAAAGUGAACUUCCUUCUGGAUUUGAUAUUUAGAUUUUUUUUUUUGAGAUGGAGUUUCACUCUUGUUGCCCAGGCUGGAGUGCAGUGGUGCAAUCUCGGCUCAGUGCAACUUCUGGAUUCUUCUGCUGCAGCCUCCUGAGUAGCUGGGACUACAGGCACCUGCCACCACAACUGGUUAAUUUUGUAUUUUUAGUAGAGGCGGGGUUUCAUCAUGUUGGCCAGGCUGAUCUCAAACUCCUGACCUCAUGAUCCACCCACCUAGGCCUCCCAAAGUGCUAGCAUUACAGGUGUGAGCCACCACACCUGGCCAGUGCUUUGAUUUCUAAUUAGUGCCCUUAGAAGUGAUUUCUUUCCCCCUUUCAUUUUUGUCUACAUGUUCACUUUCUAGGAGGUGUUCACAGGAUUGUUCAGAAAUCCACCCAGGGUCUUUCUGCUUCUUCCUAAUUCCAGCAGAGGAGCAGGCAGGUCAGACACAGAGCACAGAGUCCCUGGAGCCUGCACGGCAGUGCUGGCUGCCAGCCUUGGCCAGAAUCCUGAUGUUUGGGGCUAGAGGAGGGGGAUGAGGGGCGAUUCUCCCCACACCACGUCAGGGUAGGAAAGACACAGCCAUGCCCCUCCUCUCUG
RNAcentral lists this long non-coding RNA (2423 nucleotides) under Homo sapiens (human). RNAcentral's name for it is "non-protein coding lnc-AGT-6:1". Lineage: Eukaryota; Metazoa; Chordata; Mammalia; Primates; Hominidae. The record is from RNAcentral.